This 119-nucleotide ribosomal RNA is filed under the name Maylandia zebra (zebra mbuna). The record is from RNAcentral. Lineage: Eukaryota; Metazoa; Chordata; Actinopteri; Cichliformes; Cichlidae.
GCUUACGGCCAUACCACCCUGAGCAUGCCUGACCUCGUCUGAUCUCGGAAGCUAAGCAGGGCUGGGCUUGGUUAGUACUUGGAUGGGAGACUUCCUGGGAAUACCUGGUGCUGUAAGCC